GCUGUCCAGGGGACCGCAGCCUUGGGGACUGCUAGUGGAGUGUCUCGACCUGUCCUCCGGCUGUGUGGGCGAUCGCAGCCGCCGAGCCCAGGCACUGCUAUGGGACUGCAAAGGUGGGGCGGCGGCACAUCGGCUAGCGUCGCCAGACAUGUGCAACCGGACCUGGCUGGUGCUCCGCAUUUGCCUUCCGGCUUGAGGGACGUUACUCAGAAUGCUUUCUUUUUGCCGUUUAUUGGGCGUCUGACUUGGUGAGCACCAGUCAUCUCAGCCUUUCUGAGGUGUUGGUGAGAGUCAGUCAUACCAUGCUGAAGGCAUACUGAGGAGAAAAGUAGGCGAAAUCAAUCCCUACUUAAACACUAGCUCCCAAGGAGAACCUUUUUGGUUGGUUUGUGGGGUGCUCUCUUCCUUUUAUAUCAGCCUGACCCGAGAAAACACGUGUAGUUCAAGCUGGCCUCACACUUGGGAUCUUGGUGCAUCAGCCUUCGCAGACCCAGCCCUGCACUACGCGUGAGACGUGGUCGCAUUUUCUUACAAUGUCAAGGGUUUGUUGAAUAACAAUAAAUUCACACGUGAUUCGAGUACCAUCCUAAGUGCCAAACGUUAGCUUUUCCUUCUUGAAUCAGUUUUCAUUCGCCACCCCCAACCCCCUGAAAAUCCCAAGCUUCUCCGUACUAGUCGGGAGAUGUGUGUUAGACCAGAGCUGUGUGCUGCUUUGGAUGAAUAUCGUUCUUGGCUCUUCCUAAAGAUAGCACAAGAUAAUUUGGCUCUGGACCUGCAACUUCUAGACCUUUGUUUGGCUCUCCAUCUGAACUCACCUGAGCUCUUCAUUUCUUGUGAUUGUCAAUGAAAUAAUUCAGAUGAGGCACACAAGAGAGCACUGUUGAAGAUAAAUGGGCUUUAGUACUGGAAAGUGAAGGAACCCAAAGGAGAGAGAAACAAUGGCCAAAAAGACUGUUGGCAUAAAAGCCUGCUCACAAGGAGCAAGAAUGGGGCUGGAGAGAUGGCUCAGCGGUUAAGAGCACCAACUGUUCUUCCAGAGCUCCUGAGUUUAAUUCCCAGCAACCACAUGGUGGCUCACAACCAUCUAUAAUGGGAUCUGAUGUCCUCUUGUGUGUAUGAAGAGAGCAGUGGUGUACUCAUACACAUAAAUUAAAAACAAGGGGCAAAAAUAGACACAGGCCAAGGAGAUUCAUGGUGCCAGCCUAUAUCCUUAGAAAGGGUUUAAAACUCAAAUGUCUCUAGAACAAACAGUUGGUUUGGUUUUGAUGGGUUGUUGUGUGUGUGUGUGUGUUUUGUGGGUUUUUUGUUUCUCCUCAGGUGACUGACAGGCCCACUUGGAGUAGCUUUGGGAAGGGGGAGGUGCAUUGUGUUGACACCAGGCAUAGUUGUGCACACCUUUAAUCCCAGCACUCAGGAGAAAAAGGCAGGGGGGCCUCUGUUGUGUUCAAAGCCAGCCUGAUCUACACACUUCCAGGAUCCUGUGUGCUGGCUUGUUUUAUGGCACCUUGACACGAGAUAGCCAUCAGAAGAAGGGAUGAUGCAACUCAGAAAAUGCCUGCAGAAGAUCUGGCUGGGGGGGGGGGGGCAUGUAAGGCGUUUUCUUAAUUAGUGACUGACUGGAGAGGGCCCAGUCUAUUGUGGGUGGGGAUCUCUCUGGGCUGGUGAUGCUGGGUUCUAUAAAAAACAAAACAGACUGAACAAGCCAUGGAAAGCAAGCCCGUAAGCAGCACCCUUCCAUGGCCUCUGCAUCAGCACCUUCUUUGAGUUCCUGUCCUAACUUCCUUCAGUGAUAGACUUUACUGUGAAUGUGUGAGCCAAAUAAAUGCUUUCCUCC
RNAcentral lists this long non-coding RNA (1834 nucleotides) under Mus musculus (house mouse). Its description in RNAcentral is "long non-coding RNA chr5:100429725-100431559". The record is from RNAcentral. Lineage: Eukaryota; Metazoa; Chordata; Mammalia; Rodentia; Muridae.